AUCAAAUAUGGCCUGCUGCCUGAUUUGCCUGAAAGGUUAAGAACCACUGGUCUACAGGGUAUUUCAAAAUUGAGAAAAAAAGAGGACAUUUUAGAACGUCCGAUCAAAGGUCCACUGUGUAGGAUUUGGUGGCAUCUAGCAGUGUAGUUGAAGAGCGCAACUCCUUUGCCUUCACCCUCCCAUUCCAAGCACGAAGGAGAAACUACUGUGGCCAUGAAACGCACAAGUGAUCCUGUGCAGUGUUUGCUUUGUCCCGUCUGGACUACUGUUUAAAACAUGGCGGUCCCACAUGAUUGACUCCACAGAAGGCAACCACCAGCAUCUUUAAGAUGUUACAUUUAAGUUGGAAUUCAUUCUUGAAGAUUAUGUUUAAUGGCUUUUUACUUAUAUUGCACAAGUCAGAAGAAGUCAUUAUCUGUUGAUCCUGAAAUAAUUUAUUAGAAUAAAUGGUCAUGAUAUUAAGCCCUAACAUGAAUUAUUUACAUAUAGUUGCCAGCAUACUUAGUCUAAGAUUCUGAACAAUAGAACUUUAAUAAAGGCAGGAUUUUUGUAUUAGUUCUGACUAAACUAAGUUUAAAAUGAAACUAAAUUCUAGUGAUACUGCCUAAUGCCACUGGGGUUCUACAAUGAUUCAAAACCAAAAUCCAGUCUAAAAAAAACACUGACUAAACACUAUAGCUGACAACAACUUGAGUUAAUUUUCCAAAUUAAACACAGUUCCUGUUUUUCACCCUACCUGGACUCCCUCCAAAGCCCCACCCUGAUCAACUCAGUACAGCUCACAUCCCACUGCCGGCUAACAGAGGAUUUACCCAAGUUGCCCAAGCAUUAUCUAAACACAGACUGCUUCUGUCACAGGGGUUUAACGACUGUGAAACUUCAGUGGGCCAUGUUAUGCAACCUGCUGCCUAUGUUGAGCUGACUGAGAUAACAUGCGGGGCUGCCUGCGACUACCUGGGUAGUCAAGAAAAGAAGCAGGGUGGCGGGAUGAACUUCUGACCUCCACGUUAAUGAGAAUGGGCAGAAAAUGUAAUAUCAGCUGGAUCAGUAACAUGGAUUCAAUUAAAGGGAUCAACAUGGACAUGGAAAAACCAUCAAAGACCCUGGCCAUCUUAUGCUGCAAAACCGAAAGCACACUGCAGCCAAACCGAGCUCUCUCCACCCUUCCCGCCUCAACUCGACUGCAUGUGGCAUGCCAGUUGCUGAACUGCACAGUUUGCUAAACGAAGCGAGGUGGUGGUUUGGGAGGCACAAAGGCUCCUUUGUUCUGCUGGGCAAGACUAGAAGAUUUUUUAAGCAAAACCGACUUCUGGUGGUUGUAGUUUUCAGGAAACAAGCGAGGUUAGGCUUGCUCUGCUGGGACAAAAUGGUGGGGAUGACACGCUCCUACAGUACCUGCAUUCCUCUGCUCCAUGUAGGUGAGGAAUCCAGGUACAUUGAGCAUGUGCUGCACACAGGGUCCACAUUCCUGGCGUGUUCUUGAGCCUUAACUGACAAAGAGAAAAGACGAGCACUUGUUUUUCCUGCUGCCAUUUUGCGGCUAUGAUAAGGUCAACACUGCCAUGGUAAAAAUACAACAACAAAAAAAGAUGAGAUGACUGAAGCAGAUAAAUAAAACAUGCUUUUAUCCCCACUAAA
Long non-coding RNA from Dicentrarchus labrax (European seabass), 1638 nucleotides. RefSeq lists it as uncharacterized. Lineage: Eukaryota; Metazoa; Chordata; Actinopteri; Moronidae. The transcript has 2 exons. The record is from RefSeq and is a predicted model, not a curated record.